Molecule: long non-coding RNA, 1544 nt
Organism: Dermochelys coriacea (leatherback sea turtle)
Lineage: Eukaryota; Metazoa; Chordata; Testudines; Dermochelyidae
Exons: 3
Source: RefSeq, a predicted model, not a curated record
GCUGGUUUAGGUGAGCAGGUCUGUGCUUUGAAGCGCUGCAAAAAGAGCACUGUGGGAGGCCUAGCUCCUGGGGCCCUGACUAUUGGUGGUUUACCUGACCUGAUGAGGAAAAAGGACUCUGGCUGUUUGCAAGGAGGCCAGAGAGCCUAAUUCAGCAAAACAGGGAGAGGGAACCCACGCAAGCUGAGCAGGAGAGGCUCAGAGAAAUCCCAGUACAUCAUGUGGUAACCCAGAAGAGGAGUCCAAUCCAUCACAGUAGCAUUAUCAAUAAUGCAGAAAAAUUUAUGCACUGAGCUCUGAAAUCUUCCUUGCUACUUUCAUCAUUAACCCCUUCAGUCACUGUAAUGGGGCUGAACUUGGUGUACUUUUUUGUCAAUCAAGGCAGCAACUCAUAUAGCAAGCGUCUACAAUUGGUGGAGUGAGGUCAUCUUGAUGAUCCAGGUGCAGAUAUGGGAUGAUGGAUCAUAUCCCCAUGCUGACAUCACCACAACCACAGUACGCUGCAGGCCCUCUUUAGAAGCAUGACCAACCUACUCUCCAUUCCCAUUGACUUAAAUGGGAACCUGGAGUCAGGGGGGAGAGGCUCGGGGUGCAGGGGAGGAAUUUCUCAUGAUGGCCUUCUCUAAGGAGGGAAGCUCUGCUCAGCAACCCAGACACAUGUGUAUGCAGUCAAGAGGGCAUUAAUGUGCAGGACUAUGAGGACCAUUUGCAGGAGUGUGAAGUGAGUGCAAAGCGGGUGUAAAGAGAUACCAUUCUGACUUAGUGCCAAUCUAUACUCCGCACUGCUGAAAAUGACUACAGAAAACACAAGGCAAUGAAGAAUCAGCCCCACAUACCCGUGGUGAUACCACCCUCAUCACAUGGCAAAAUAUUGCUGGCACUUGGAAAGAACACCAUCUUGAUCACAUCUACAGCAAAAUAUUCACAGAAGAGUUUCUUGAAUGAGCGGAGCUUUUUUCCCUUUACCUGCAAACACUUUGUUUUUUUGGUUUUUUUACAGGUUUUUUCUGAAGUUAUUUGGUAAAUGGCUUGUGAACAUGGCUCAGCAUAUGGACUGCUCCUGAUUUAACAGUUAAGUGUUUAGCUGACUCCUGCAGCAGCCACUCAGACUGGAUUUUGACAAGCUGUCCCACGUUCCAAAUACAUGUAUAAUUAUGGAAAAAAUUAUGUAGGAGUAGGAAACCAUUUCACAAUGGCUACCUAUUACAAUGAAACUGACAUUCACUGCAAAAAUGGCUUAGAUAUUUGAUGGUCUUAAUUUGCUAUUGUCUUUGUGAUUAGACACAUGCUAUUGUUUCUGAUUCCCACGUGCACAAACAAGUCUCUGACAACCAUGUAAAUGCUUGUCUGCACCUGUUCACUAUACUUUCACCUUCUGUACACAUUCUUGCUAACAAAAUAUUUCUGUGGACAUACACUUAAGCUAAAUCAAUACAAGACAGCUGUAAGCCAAUUUAAGUUGAUUCCUUACUAAAACUAAAUUGAUGUGAGCCGAUUGGCUCUCCCUUGUUAUCCAAUAUUUAUAGUUUGUACUACAGCUGAUC